GAUGAAGAACGAAGCGAAAUGCGAUAAGUAAUGUGAAUUGCAGAAUUCAGUGAAUCAUCGAAUCUUUGAACGCACCUUGCGCCCUUUGGCCAUUCCGAAGGGCAUGCCUGUUUGAGUAUCAUGAACACCUCAACUCUUUAUGGUUUUCCAUGAUGAGCUUGGACUCUGGGGGUUUUGCUGGCUCACAGUCGGCUCCUCUAAAAUAAAUCAGCUUACCAGUGUUUGGUGGGUAUCAUGGGUGUGAUAACUAUCUACGCUUGUGGUUUUUCCACCAGGUAACCUUCAGCAGUGGAGGUUCGCUGGAGCUCAUAGACGUCUCUCCUCAGUGAGGACAGCCCUUUGAACGUUUGAUCUCAAAUCAGGAAGGACUACCCGCUGAACUUAAGCAUAUCAAUAAGCGGAGGA
This 405-nucleotide unclassified non-coding RNA is filed under the name soil metagenome. RNAcentral describes it as "partial contains 5.8S ribosomal RNA, internal transcribed spacer 2, and large subunit ribosomal RNA". The stretch from base 1 to 121 matches the Rfam family "5.8S ribosomal RNA", at positions 35 to 154 of the family's 154-position model. The record is from RNAcentral.